Meriones unguiculatus (Mongolian gerbil) is the source of this 7121-nucleotide long non-coding RNA. RefSeq lists it as uncharacterized. The record is from RefSeq and is a predicted model, not a curated record. Lineage: Eukaryota; Metazoa; Chordata; Mammalia; Rodentia; Muridae. The transcript has 3 exons.
UUCCCUGUGCCCAGACUCUUGUUCGGGGCCUUGAAACAGUGAGCUGUCUUUGUUCGAAAUACAGGUGAACGGCAAUCAUGUGAUUAACACACACACACAUAAAAAGCUUUUUAACAGCGCCCGCCCGGCCUCAGAACUGCCCGGGAGAGAAGCCGCCUUGGAUGGACAGAGGGACCGAGCAAGAGAACAUCCAGCCAGUUGUGUCCGGGGCUCCCCUGCAGCGGUCUCCGACGCCUGCUGCUGUCUGCCGGCUGCCUGCCCGCCUGGCAUCUCUCUCCCGCUCCCCUCAUAGGACAAGGACAGGAGGAGAUGAGGGGACACAACGAGGGCAUCCACCACCUCUGAUCGCAGACGUGUGGACCACGCCUCUGUCGCGAGGGGCCUGACAUUCUCUGCGUUCCUGCCAGGCCGACACAGGACCUUCCUGUCCCAAACUCCCGGCCAGCCAUUUCACCUAAUCUACACAGCCGCCACCUGAGGCGAGGAAGUUGCUGUCCCUGGAGGUGGAGACUCAGAGGGUAAAUGUCGGGGUCAAGGCCUCUGUGAACGGGCGUCUCCCAGCAGACCCCUCCGGAGAGACCCCCGUGAACACGUCCCGAACCCACGAGAACACUGAAUCUGGCCUCCAGUGAGGGCCGACACCAUUUUCACCGGAACUUUGCAGAAUGACACAGACUGUGUCCCCGGAAUGGGAUGUCAGGAAGCCAGCCAGACAAUGAAGUGUCUGCUCCCUGGGGAGUUUUUGCCACCGUCCCCUCCCACAGCCACCCUGCGAAGCAGACAGGGAAGGGCUGAUGAUAUCAUGUUUUUAAAUGAGGAAACUGAGUCACAGAAGAGCAGCACAAAUCGGGUCUUGGAGCUCAACCCACUGAGGACAGCUCACUUACUCUGAUUUCCGGGGCUACUGCCUCCCCCACCGCAAAAGGGCCCAGAGCCUGGAAGGAUGGAUGGAUGGACAGAAAUAUUUAGGCAGAUCCCAGCCACCUAUCUGUAUCUGUCUAGAAUCACGGAAGUCACCACUCUGAGGAUACUGGCUCAGCCACCAGAACGCUUGGUGACCCCAUCUUACCCACCCACCCGUGUGGACAGAGUAUCCACACUGCAGGCUGGGAGUGUGUGCAACUCAUCUCUGUCCGUCUUGUCUGUCUCCACUCUGCUGGGUUCGCAUCCCUGGGAGACAGACGCUGAGCGAGCUUGAGGACUCGGUGGUGGAUGGUGAGGCCCGGUGGGAGAGUAAGAAGAGACCUUGAGUCGAACAACUCGCCCCGACUGUCCCUCAAAGAGGAGAGAUGAGUUUUCGGAUGCUCCAAGUCAGGGUGCCUGGACACACUGAGGCCUCCUGUUUCUGGAAGCUGAACGGGAAAGGCUUCCUGGAGGAGGUGACCCAAGAUUAGAUCCAAGUGAAGGUUUAGAGGUCAGAAACAAGGAAGAGCCGGCCAGCACUGGGGAGAGGCAAGGAGGAGAUGGUGAAUGGUGUGUGGGAGUGAGGGGUCCCCACAGCACCUGCCUGCUGUAGUGGAAUGUGGCAGGAAAAAUGAGGCAGUGGGCAGUGAGGGUGCCGUGUGGAUCCCGAGGGCAGAGGAGCACUUCCAGAGUUAUUUAUUAUUUUUGAGACAGAGUCUCUCUAUAUAGCCAUGGCUGCCCUGGAACUCUAUAUAGACCAGGCUGGCCCCCAAUUCACAGAGACCCUCUUGCCGCUGCCUCCUGUGUUGGGAUUAAAGGUGUGCUGACCACUGGAUCUAACUACUCACUGAGCCAGAUUCGUUUUGUGUUCUAGAAAGAUCUCUGCCCUGUAGGCCAGGUCUGUGCCAGCCUGGCUUACUGUUGGCACUCUGGCACCUGGACCCGUGCCCAGCAUAUAGCAAAGGUUCUAAAUCAGUGCGUGGGGGCAGGCAGCAUCCAUUGAGGCGGUGGCUCUCUCCAGCUGUGGCACCAGGGCCUCAGUUUCUUCGUGGAUAAAAUGGGGCGACAGUGCCUGCCUUGUGGGUGUGCUGCAGUGGUUGGAGAAACGUGGAGGCAUACCUCCAUGUCCUGUGCAUGGCCAGCACCCCAAGACUGGUGUGGGGUGUUCUUUGCGGAAUGUGGAGGCAGGGAUGCUAUUCAGGGUCACUCAGCUAUUCAGGUGACAGAGGUCAUGACAACAGUGGUGAUCGCCAAGGCUUUAAGCACUUUCUGUAUUCCCCAGAACAAGCCACAAGAAAGAAGGGGUUGCUCUCCCUGUCCCGUCAUCCAGGAAAGGAGGCUCAAGGAGGACCUCUGACUUGCCCAAAGUACCUCCACCCCUCAGUGGUGGAUGGGAACUCACCGAUGCCAUUUCAUACCACCAUGGGCAUGGAUGUGACAUGAAGAUACAGUGCAGACCAGUGGACCAGUGGGGGGGGGGGGCAGGCACAGGACAGGGAAUGUACCAACGCCCCACCUUUUCUGCUUCUGGUAGAGAGAAGAUAGCAGGGCCUAGCAAGGCAGAACGGUUUGAGUACAAUGAGUAUGUGAGGAGAUGCUAUGAGGUCUGAGGUCUCACAGAGCAAGCAUGGGGCUGGGGAAAGAGUGGGAAAAGAUGAAGGCCCUCCCGUCCUAGAGCAAGGCCAGGGAGCUGUGUGGGAAGGUUGCAGGUUCCCUGGGGCAUGGGAAGAGGAGGGAAGGGGGACGCCGCUGGCUUGCCCCACUGCUACCCAGGGGUCAUAGAGGUCAGGUGGCCGGCAGGGUGGCCUGGAAAGACAGGAGACAGGGCUGCAGAGAGAAGGGCCUGGUCGGUGGACCUUCCCCAGAUCAGAGAUGGGUAUAUUUGGGACUUGUCGAUAGUGUCUGGGGGGCAGCACCAGCUAGCUCCAUUGGGCACAGGAGGGGGAUAUGAGAGCACAGUCUAAGGGCAUUGUUCUCUGCAGGGUGAAAGGAGGGAUGGGGAAGGAGAGAUACUCAUGGUGUUGGGGGGGAGGGCCUGACGAUGGAGUGGUUUGAAUGGGAGGAGAUUCCCCAGCAGGCAGGAGCCAUUUGUUGGUGGGAGAGGGGAGCCAACUACAGUUGGAGGUGGGGUGCAUAGAGCUUGGGGUGCCCUGAGAACUGGUGUCUUCGGGUCUAGAGAGGGCAGGAGUGGCUAAGCUGUCUUUUUCUUCUUGGUGCUGGCCACAUGCCUGGCCUGUGUCAGGACAUCGGUGAGCCUGUCCUACACCUCACCUCAGGUGCCUCACCUGGUGCUGGGUGGCCGUCCUCACCCCACAGUGUGGGUAUGAAGGGGAGCAAGGGCUAGGCAGCUCCAGAGGGAUUGGGUGGUCCCCGGCCACUUCCCUCCGUGUGAACCCUCCCGCUUUUCCCCGGCAGGGCUGCAGAGCUGCCCUCUGCCAGAACGCGGUGCCAAGCACAGAGCAGGACCUCAAGCAUGUUUGCCCUGUACUUGUCUGCUCUUGGCAGAGUUCAAAGCCCUGUCCCUUGAUGACCCACGAGGCCACCUUACCCAGCAUGACUGCUCCUGUGAGGGAGACAGAACCUGGGAGGGGGUCCUUGUUCUCCCUACGGAAACCAGACACUUCGUCCUCAGGGAACGCCCAUGUGGCCCCCAGACCACUCACCGACGUCAAUCAUCCUUGCUGCUCAGUUCCCUGGACUGGAGCAUCGGGAUGGGAAGCAGGCCAAGGUGCACAGGGGCAGGAGGGUCUAGGACUGGGGUGGGGGUGGGGAUAGUUGUUGAGUUAGCCUGCCUUGUCUGAACUUUCGCAGGUCCCUUUCACGAGGGGCUGUAGGGUCGCCCUCUGACCCUGCCCACAACUGUGAGGUGGGGCUGCUUCCCGAAGGACCCUGUGCCCGUCCAGCGUGUGGGUGACUUGGCCGCACUUGCCAGUGCUCCAUUAAAGAGGAGGUGUCCCUACACACCCGAGUUCAAAGAUGCCACUGCAGAGUGUGUUAGUAACAGAAGCUGCCUGUGACUUUCGAGUUCGGGAGCAGAGGACGGGAACUGGAGGCAGAUCACCUUCACAUAGCAGAACGCAAUGUGGUGGUAAAACUGACGUUCAUGCUGGGCUUGAAAGAUGGGGGAGCGUCUAUGGUGAAAAGCUCGUGUGCCAAUCCAGGAGAAGCAGCUAUAUAUGUGCGCUCAGAGAACUUCUGCCAGGAGCAGUGAGGUGGGACCCAGCGGUGUGCUCUGCGUGAACUCACUGCACGCAACCACGCGUAGAAAGAAAACUGGGUUUAACAAAGUGUGGAGGGGGUGCUGGGGAGAUGGCUCAGUGGUUAAGGGCACUGUCUGCUCUUCCAACCACCCGGGGCCAAUUCCCAGCGCCCACACGGCAGCUCACAACUGCCUGCAACGCCCAUUCCAGGGAUCUGACACCUUCACCCUAGUGCACAUAAAAUAAAAUAAUAAAUUAUAGAAAAAGAAAGAAAACUGGAGGGGCGGAGGGGAGAUGGCUCAGUCGGUAAAGUGCUUGGUGUGCAAGCAUGAGGAUUUGAGUUGGAGUCCCAGAACACACAUGAAAACGCCGGGCGUGAUAUCACGUGCUUGCAACCCCCGGCGCUAGAGACGUGAGCACAGCUGGACCUCAGCUCGUGGGAAGCCAGCCUAGAGAUCUUGUCGGCUUCUGGGAAAGUGGACACACCCAAGGACUGCCACUGGAGGUGUCCCCCGGCCUCCACACGCGCGUAUGCGUGCAUUGCCAAGGGAAGGUAGGGGACUGCACAAACGUGCUCACACGCACUUUAAAAAUUUUAAAAAUUUUAAAACAUUUUAGGACAUUUUAAAAAUGCAGCAGAGGGCUGGGGAGAUGGCUCAGUGAUUAUUUGCUGCUCUUGCAGAGAGAAGCAGGGUUUGGUUCCCAGCACCUAGGUUGGGCGUCUCACAACCACCUGUUACUCCAGCUCUGGGGGAUCUGAACCCCCUCUUCUGGCCUCCGUGGACACCCGCUUGCACAUGUGUAAACACACACACACAUAAAUAAAAAUCUUUUUUAAAAUUAAAAAUCUGGAAAGACAACAGAAAAAAAGUUGAACCUCAGUUAUUCUUGAGAGGGUAGAACUUAGUAAACUUUUCAUUUACUGACUUUUUUUCUUUUGAGGCAGGAUUUCACUAUGUAGCUCUCCUAGUCAGCCUGGAACUCUACGUAGACCAGACCGGCCUUGACCUCUUAGCAACCCUCCUGCCUCUGCACCCUGCGUGCUAGGAUUACAGUGCUAUGCCACUACACUCAGCUGAGUUUAUUUUUUAAUCACAUCUUAGUCUGUGCGUAUGUGGGUGGGUAUGAAUGAGCGUGCAUAUGUGAGCCUCACUCCCAGCCUGUGCCUUGAGCGUUUCCACUUCUUUGUUUCCCUGGCACUGGCAUAUGUGAUAGGAAGUCACAGGACCUGGUCAUGUUCCUGACCGUGGAAGUCAUACCUCAGUUUCCCUAAGGGCUGGGCAUUUUCAGAUCAAUUUUGAAGGCCCAGUUGUCCAGAAGAUAGACAUGUCUGGUGUGGGACAGCUAAGUGUGUGUGUGUGUGUGUGUGUGUGUGUGUGUGUGUGUGUUGGCUGAGGAUGGGGACGGGCCGAGGCUGGAUGAGUCCUUGGCUAGCUCCCUCAUCAGACCCUGGUUCCUGGCACAUCUCUGAACCCCGUGGUGGUGGGAACUGGUACCUGAAAGGUGGAGGGUCUCAGCAAAGCAGACCCCACCAAGAGAGAUGGCCUGGUGUCCCCACAGUGUAUAGUGAGCUGAUGGCAAUUAAAGGCCAGCAAGGACUCCUCCCUCCGAGGAGGAUGGAUGGGAAAGGGGAGGGGGUUCCCUGGGGCUACAAAUGCUUAGAUGUUGCCACUGACAAGCUGAGCUGUCCACAGCCCUGAGCACAAUGCUGUCAUUAACCCCUGACCCUGGCCCCUACUUAGCCACUUCCUCUGCAGGAGGAGGGAGGGCCGGAUUCCACCAUGAUGCUCAUUUCAGUGAGGUUUGGGGGUCACAGCUCUGUAGGCUCCUCUAGAGCUCUGUAGCUCCGUAGCUGCUCCGGGCUUGAGCGGGAGAGAGUAUGUCACACUUUGGCCCCUUCAGGGGCAGUCAUGGGCCAAGCGCUUCAAGCCAGAGCAGCAUGAAAGGAGAGAAUGGAGAAAGCCAAAGACAGAGACAGACAGACAGGGAGGCUGUAGAGAGAGGCCACUCUUGUGCCCUCCACAGCAUGUACAAAGGCAUGCAGGAAGCAAGGCUGUCAUGAAAUGAGAUGAUCAGUCCCGAUCAGGCAUGAACACUCUAAAAUAAGGUCUCGGCAACACACACCUGGCCAGGCAGAAGGGCGCAUUACACACCCUGGGAACGUGAGGCUGGCUUAAUGCUUGGAAUCUGUCAACACAAUUCUUCACUGAAUGAAUGAAUUCAGGAGACAGUCUGACGGCCAUCUCAGCCCUGGCCACACAUUUCAGAAACUCCCUGGGAUGAACUGUCUCAGACCAGGGGCCUGGGAGUGGGGAAGGAGCCUGCGAGCUGAGAAAGAUCAUGGCUGAGACCCGUUAGACAUGGUUUCCAACAGGGCGACAGACCCAUGCCUUUCAAUCAGUCUCCUCCGGUUGAACUCAGCCAAGUGUCUGCUCAUGCUGUGUCCAAGCUUCCAGCCAAGGAGGCAGUUGGCCCAUACAGUAAACUGCCAGAACAAAACAAAAUGCGGGGAUCGGAAAGGAGGAUGCAAGCUGACAUUACCGAACCAAAGCUGCCUACACAGAAACCCAAAAGAGCCCAUAGGCAAAUGGCUGGAGCUGAAAUUUACCCAAGAUACGCAUCCAUUAAAGCAAUAGGAAAGGCUAACUGCUGGAUGGCUGUGGCGGGCUCGGCACGGAAAAGCUCCUGUUUCCGAGGCUGACCCGAGUUUAACCACCAGAAUCUGAAUGGUAGAACUUACCCUUUGACCUCUACGCCUGCCCCUCCCCCGACACACACACACACACACACACACACACACACACACACACACACACGGCGGUUUUUAAAAAUUACGUGUCUGAGUGUUCUGCUCGCAUGUAUGAAUAUGUAUCAAGCAUGUGCCUGGUGCCCCUCAGAGGCCGGAAGAGGGGGGUUGGGUCCCAUGGGACUGGACUUACAGAUGGUUGUGUGUGGCUGUGAGGGGUCGGGAACCUGAACUCUAGUAACCACUGGCUCACCUCUCCAUCCUGCUAAUUU